GAUGAACGCUGGCGGCGUGCCUAAUACAUGCAAGUCGAGCGAACAGAUAAGGAGCUUGCUCCUUUGACGUUAGCGGCGGACGGGUGAGUAACACGUGGGUAACCUACCUAUAAGACUGGAAUAACUCCGGGAAACCGGGGCUAAUGCCGGAUAACAUUUAGAACCGCAUGGUUCUAAAGUGAAAGAUGGUUUUGCUAUCACUUAUAGAUGGACCCGCGCCGUAUUAGCUAGUUGGUAAGGUAACGGCUUACCAAGGCAACGAUACGUAGCCGACCUGAGAGGGUGAUCAGCCACACUGGCACUGAGACACGGUCCAGACUCCUACGGGAGGCACCAGUAGGGAAUCUUCCGCAAUGGGCGAAAGCCUGACGGAGCAACGCCGCGUGAGUGAUGAAGGUCUUCGGAUCGUAAACCUCUGUUAUUAGGGAAGAACAAAUGUGUAAGUAACUGUGCACGUCUUGACGGUACCUAAUCAGAAAGCCACGGCUAACUACGUG
This 497-nucleotide ribosomal RNA is filed under the name uncultured bacterium. Its description in RNAcentral is "partial 16S ribosomal RNA". It matches the Rfam family "Bacterial small subunit ribosomal RNA", at positions 28 to 507 of the family's 1533-position model. The record is from RNAcentral.